RNAcentral lists this long non-coding RNA (271 nucleotides) under Mytilus galloprovincialis (Mediterranean mussel). Lineage: Eukaryota; Metazoa; Mollusca; Bivalvia; Mytilida; Mytilidae. The record is from RNAcentral.
AUAAGGGAGAUACCAUUUGAUUUUUAUGGGGGGCUAGGAUGAAAAAUUUUGUCCUGCAUUUUUUUUUAGCUGUAAUCCCUGUCCUGCCUUUUUAUUUUUCACUCUAAUCGGUCCUGCCUUUUUUUUUUUUAGUUUAUCCUGACUUUUUUUUACCUAAAUUGUCGUCCUGACUUUUUUUUUUUUGCAAGUGUCACAUCCUGCCUUUUUUUUUUACUCAAAACUACUGUCCUGCCUAUUUUUUUCAAAUUUCAUCCUAGCCCCCCCCACCCCC